RNAcentral lists this ribosomal RNA (497 nucleotides) under uncultured bacterium. Its description in RNAcentral is "partial 16S ribosomal RNA". It matches the Rfam family "Bacterial small subunit ribosomal RNA", at positions 28 to 507 of the family's 1533-position model. The record is from RNAcentral.
GAUGAACGCUGGCGGCGUGCCUAAUACAUGCAAGUCGAGCGAACGGACGAGAAGCUUGCUUCUCUGAUGUUAGCGGCGGACGGGUGAGUAACACGUGGAUAACCUUCCUAUAAGACUGGGAUAACUUCGGGAAACCGGAGCUAAUACCGGAUGAUAUUUUGAACCGCAUGGUUCAAAAGUGAAAGACGGUCUUGCUGUCACUUAUAGAUGGAUCCGCGCUGCAUUAGCUAGUUGGUAAGGUAACGGCUUACCAAGGCAACGAUGCAUAGCCGACCUGAGAGGGUGAUAGGCCACACUGGAACGGGGACACGGUCCAGACUCCUACGGGAGGCAGCAGUAGGGAAUCUUCCGCAAUGGGCGAAAGCCUGACGGAGCAACGCCGCGUGAGUGAUGAAGGUCUUCGGAUCGUAAAACUCUGUUAUUAGGGAAAAACAUAUGUGUAAGUAACUGUGCACAUCGUGACGGUACCGAGUCAGAAAGCCACGGCUAACUACGUG